CAUCAUUGCAGCAGGUGGGAGCCAGAUAAUUCAUAUCUUCUUCAGUGCCACCGUGGUUGGGAGGUUUCUGGAAGAAUUCCAGUUCAGCGUGGCUGGAUCUCCUAUGUCUGCAAUCCUGGCUGUCAGGGGCUGUGUCACCGGACUGCGUUCACGCUUUGAGGUCAAUGAGCUCGACUGUGGGGACAUCUCCCCUGGCUCUACCUACACUGUGACCUCUUCCCGCAGUAACACCUCCCCGGUGUCUCGUGCCAGCCUUUGGGGAGAAGCCCACUCCCCAAAUCUCCAAAUCCAGCCCAGCACCCUGGAGUUUGGCUGCCUGGUGGGUGGCACUGCAGAAGAAAAGUGUUCUCUGGAGAUGGCCAAGUGCAGCUCCCUCCCUAUCCAGCACCACUGGUCAAUCUGUUCCAGCAGCCAGGAGAACAGCUUGAAGUAUGUGCACUAUUGCCCUGUCCUCAAAGCUCUUCUUGCUGAUGUGUCAGGAAGGAUGAAAGUUUGUCAAGAAAGUCUCACAGAUAUGAAUGCUUAG
Molecule: long non-coding RNA, 526 nt
Organism: Zonotrichia leucophrys gambelii
Lineage: Eukaryota; Metazoa; Chordata; Aves; Passeriformes; Passerellidae
Exons: 3
Source: RefSeq, a predicted model, not a curated record